Molecule: non-coding RNA, 164 nt
Organism: Mesotoga prima MesG1.Ag.4.2
Lineage: Bacteria; Thermotogati; Thermotogota; Thermotogae; Kosmotogales; Kosmotogaceae
Source: Rfam
UCACUGGUAACGGUGAAUCUGAAGGAAGCCCGAGGCAAAGUCCGGAACUGAACGAAAGUGAACCAGGGAUGGCCGUUACAGUAGGGUAACCCUGCCAGAUAAGGGAAAGCCCUGACUCCAGCUGUAAAGGUUUGGAUGGCAGGAUUCGGAUGAAAGUGGUGUAU